UCUCAGGCUUGCAAGGCAAGCACUUUCCUAGCAGCCGUCUCCCCAGCCCUGAAACUCAUUUCUGAUUCCAGGGCAUUCUGUGUCUCUUCAAGGGAAGAGGUGGAAGAUGGUGAGAUCACUCUGAGUUACCUGCCCCAGCCAGGGGACGGCAGGGAGAAAGCGGCUGUGGGUGGCUGGACUUGUGCCACAUCAUUAUAGGAGCCCUCCCCGCUCCACCCCUCCAUAUUCCAUGUGACCUUCAAGUUCCUGGUGCCUUGCCCUCCCCGCCAUGAUGGACUGUACCCCAAAUGGUUCCACCUUCUUACAACACCUGGAGACUGAAUUGCCAGAGGAGUUUGGGAGUCCCCAUCCAUUCAGACCAAAGCAAGGGAGAAUGUCUGCUUCUGUCGGGUUUGUCUGCAGAUGUGAAAAGAGUGGCUGCAUUUAUCCUGCUCGUGUGGAG
Molecule: long non-coding RNA, 442 nt
Organism: Peromyscus californicus insignis
Lineage: Eukaryota; Metazoa; Chordata; Mammalia; Rodentia; Cricetidae
Exons: 4
Source: RefSeq, a predicted model, not a curated record